AACUUUAUAGCUUUUGUUGAGACACCUCAUUCACCACCAUACCUUUCAAUCAUACCAUUACCUUUCAAUCAUACCAUCCUCUGCAAAGACACCUCAUUCAUCACCAUACCUUUCUCUACAAAGUCAUUUCACUUCAAUAAAGGAUCUAUCUUUUCCCUCACUUAGCAUUUUCGAUCAAUCUCAUUUCUCCCUCAAGUUACUAUCUAGUUCCAACAAACCCAAAGAAAUCCAAGUGCAGAGCUCAGCCAUAUUGCGAAUGGAUCAAAUUGCCACAAAACUCAGAUUUCAGCAACUCAAACCAGAGGCUUUGAGCAUCAGAAGGAUUAGCACUGCUACUCCGAUUCAGAAAUAAGGUUAAACGACAGGCUUUGCCUAGACAGGUUGAGCAGUUGAUGGAAUGGAAUGAUGUUGAGCGGGUGUUCCUUUGACAUUUCAAGAAAUGUAACCUUGAGUAUACAUCUUCAUAUGUAUAUCUCACACGUUUUCCGCUGCAAAACACUUUGAUUAGGAUAACUUUAUGUUAUGAAGUUGGGAUACGUGUUAUUGGGUAACCCACCUUAAUCAGUUCUCAUUUAUGUGUAUGUUUUAUAAGUAUCCAAAUAAUCAUAUAUGAUCCUAGCAUUUUAUCUAUGAGUGACAUUUCCAUA
This is a long non-coding RNA of Salvia miltiorrhiza (redroot sage), 647 nucleotides long. RefSeq lists it as uncharacterized. NCBI's taxonomy places the organism in Eukaryota, Viridiplantae, Streptophyta, Magnoliopsida, Lamiales, Lamiaceae. The transcript is spliced from 3 exons. The record is from RefSeq and is a predicted model, not a curated record.